This 3294-nucleotide unclassified non-coding RNA is filed under the name Camponotus floridanus (Florida carpenter ant). RNAcentral describes it as "proline-, glutamic acid- and leucine-rich protein 1, transcript variant X1". Lineage: Eukaryota; Metazoa; Arthropoda; Insecta; Hymenoptera; Formicidae. The record is from RNAcentral.
ACUCUACUUUACGAGUUUCUGAAGGCAGCCAUGUGAGUCGAAAAGUAAUCUCGCUUUUCAAUUAUUUUUUACUACACCAUUUUCCUCUUGUGAACGAAAAUUCAUAAAAGAUAAAAGAAAAAAUGGAGUUUAUGCAUAAUGACGAUGUGCCAUUUGAUAGCCAAAAGAUCGAAACAGUACAACAGAGUAUUGUAAAAAGUAUAAAUUCUCGGUUAAAUCAAGCACGAUCCGAUGGUUUACUUCUGCUGGAUAGACUUCUGCCUUGUUCUAAGGACACAUUAUCAAAAUAUGGUUUAUUCUGGAUAACUAAUGCCAUUAAAGUAGUGGAAAACAUACAUAGUAAUAUACAAGAUUUAACACUGGCAUGCAAAGUAUUAGGUCCUCUAAUUGAACAUUGUAAGAAUAUCCCAGAAUUACAUAAACAGAUUUCCACACGAAUUAUUAAACAGAUUAUAAAUGCACUUAGUGCUUUACGAACAAAUGCAAAAUGUGGAGCGGUGUAUUACUUAAUAGCUGUUUUGCUAUAUCAUUAUCCUGAAGUUUGCGAACGGUUUCAGGAAUUGAUAAAAAAAAUGAUAUUACUACAAAUUGAUUCAACUGAUGACAAUUUGGUUAAUGCAAGUGCAAAAUGCUAUGUUCUUUUUUCUAAAGCAACAGAGCGUUCAUUUAAAUCAACAGAAGCUACACCUAUGUAUACCAGAUUAAUAUAUAACGAAAUGUUGCUUUGUAAUAAUUUAAAUGCUAUAAUGGAUCAAUUAUUCCGUGAAUUAAUAGAGCUGAAAAAGAAAGAUACAAAAAAGGAUCUAUUAGAAUUACCAUAUAUAACUGAUAGGGAGUAUAACAAACAGGAACAAAGAUUUUCAAAUUUGUGUAUAUAUCUCUCCUCAAUGUUACGUGGAUAUGAAGCAAGAAAUUCAGUUUUGCCUCAGAAUAUUUUACAGGUUUUAAGUCGGGGAUUAAUGAUUACACCAUUAAAUUUGAAGACUAAAACUUCUGACGAACGGAUGCUAUACAUAAUCUUGCCAAAAUUACAUAUUAGUUUGCUCACAGUUUUAGAUGCACUGAUAAAUGGAUUUGCACAGGAGUUGGUACCAUUUGGAAUAACAAUAUUAGAGUUAUUCCAAACAGUAUUACAAUGGACAAAUACUGAUUUUAAAAAUCAAAUAACAUUUAGCAAUAGUAAACCUUUCAGAAGUGUAAAAAUACAGGCUUACAAAUGUCUCUGUUCAUGGCUGAUGAAUACUAGUUCAUUGUCGGGUAUAGAGACAAUCGCAAACGAAUGUAUUAAUUCUAUAUUGAAGGAUAUAAUACCAGAACGAGAUCGUAUAUUAUUAACUAUGCACCAAAAAACGCCACAAUUAUCUAAACGGGCUAUAAAACGUUUUAAACAAAGUCAAUAUGAAAAUAGCACAGUUUUGAAUAAUGAAAAAGAUUCUAUUAAAAGUGGACAUUUAGACCCAGAUUUGUGCAAAGAGGCUCUUAUUACUUUGUAUAAUAUACUUUCCAGUGGUACAAUAUUAUUAAAAGAAACGUUUUACAAGAACGUUCUAAAUACUGUGAUACCUUUAUUAUACAACCUUUAUUUAAAUUCUUUUGAACAAAGCUUUUAUAAAGAAAACCACAAAUGUCGCUUGGAACUAUUCAAAGUCUUAAAAGCUUUGCUAAUGUAUCCACAUAUUACGUUAGGAUUUCCAAUACAAUAUUGUCUAGAAAUAUCACAUAUGGCAGCUUAUGAUAUUGAUAUAAACAUCAUUCAAGAAGCAAAACUUGCAUUAGCUGAAUUAGAAAAAAUUAUACAUCCUGCUGCACCUACAUUACAAUUACCUCGACAACAGGAACCUGAUAAUGAAUUUGUUUCUGAAAAUCAAACAGAAGAAGUUGCUAUUACUAGCAAGUCAGACAAAGGAAGUUGGGUUGAAGAAGAUAUUUCAGAAAAUGUUUUUGAAAGUCAAGCAGAAGAAGUUGCUACUACUAGCAAGUCAGACAAAAGAAGUUGGGUUGAAGAAGAUAUUUCAGAAAAUGUUUCUGAAAGUCAAGCAGAAGAAGUUGCUAUUACUAGCAAGUCAGACAAAAGAAGUUGGACUGAAGAAGAUCUUUCAGAAAAUGAUGUAACGUUAUCUGUACAUAAACGACCAAAAAUAAUUGCGUCAGAAAUAAUACAGAAUGGAAAUAAUAUCAAAUUAAUAAAGAAAAAGAGCACAUUAAAUAUAGAUAAAUUUGAGACAGAGAAGAAUUCAUAUAAAAACAUUAGCAAAUUAAAUAAAAAUGAUAAAAUUGAAGAAGAGCUUCCUAAAUUGAAGAAUUCAUGUAAAAACAUUAGCAAAUUAAAUAAAAAUGAUAAAAUUGAAGAAAAGCUUCCUAAUGAUACAGAUAUAGCAUCAUUUAUAUGUGAACAGCCAAAAAUAGUUACUUCAAGAUGUACUGAAAUAAUUCCAAGUAAAAAUACAAUAGAAUCAAUAGAAAUAGUUCCGAGUGAAAAUACUAUAAAACUAAUAGAAACAAAUAAUAGUAUAAUGGAUAUAGAUAAAACUCAAGAAGAUGAGAAUUUAUGUGAAAAAGAAGAAACUGGAAAUAUAUUACAAGAAGAAUGUGAAAUAUACUAUAAUAAAGAAAAAAAUCAGCAUAAUAUUGAUAAAAUCAUAAAUUCCACAACUGAAAAUAAAGUAGAAUGUGAAUACAUUACACAUGUUAACACAGAAGAAAAGAAACAACUCAAAGAAAAUUUAAUAUCAUGUACAAAUGAACCGGAUAAAAAAGUAGAAGAUAUUUUUCUUCAGAAAUUUUCUGAAUUUGAUGAAGAAAUACAUAUGGCGAUGAAUGAAAAGUCAAGAACAAAAAGUGAAGAAGAAUUGGUCAAUGCACAGGAUAUACAAUCAUUGCAAGAAGAAGAAAUAAAUUGGCAGACAGAUUAAUAUAUAUUUUUUUAUUUGAUACAUUUAUACAAUAAAAAGAUAUGUGUAUAAACUAAAAGAAGUUGAACAAAUUUAACCAGCGAAUGGUAUUGAUGGUAUAGGUACCUUUGAUAUUGUUCCUGUGGUACCUUGUUCUAUUAAUUGUAAAGGAGCUUUAUAUAAACUACACAUUGGUGAUUGCAAUCGUUCUGGCACAGCGGUCCAUAAUCCCAUUUCGCAGUAUCUAGAACAUUAAUAGCAAACGGCACGGUUUAAUGUACCAGCAUGAAUAUGUAAUUCGUAAGUUUUUCGCAGCGUUACCUAAAAUUAUUCAUGCUUUUCGGAUCCGUCGUGAUACUAAUGAAAGAAUUUGUUUUAUCUGAGAAAUUUGGAAUUAUAUCCG